RNAcentral lists this ribosomal RNA (479 nucleotides) under uncultured bacterium. RNAcentral's name for it is "partial 16S ribosomal RNA". It matches the Rfam family "Bacterial small subunit ribosomal RNA", at positions 28 to 507 of the family's 1533-position model. The record is from RNAcentral.
GAUGAACGCUAGCGUGAGGCCUAACACAUGCAAGCCGAGCGGUAUUUGUUCUUCGGAACAGAGAGAGCGGCGCACGGGUGCGGAACACGUGUGCAACCUGCCUUUAUCUGGGGGAUAGCCUUUCGAAAGGAAGAUUAAUACCCCAUAAUAUAUUGAGUGGCAUCAUUUGAUAUUGAAAACUCCGGUGGAUAGAGAUGGGCACGCGCAAGAUUAGAUAGUUGGUGAGGUAACGGCUCACCAAGUCAAUGAUCUUUAGGGGGCCUGAGAGGGUGAUCCCCCACACUGGUACUGAGACACGGACCAGACUCCUACGGGAGGCAGCAGUGAGGAAUAUUGGACAAUGGGUUAGCGCCUGAUCCAGCCAUCCCGCGUGAAGGACGACGGCCCUAUGGGUUGUAAACUUCUUUUGUAUAGGGAUAAACCUACUCUCGUGAGAGUAGCUGAAGGUACUAUACGAAUAAGCACCGGCUAACUCCGUG